GAUGAACGCUGGCGGCGUGCCUAAUACAUGCAAGUCGAGCGAACAGACGAGGAGCUUGCUCCUCUGACGUUAGCGGCGGACGGGUGAGUAACACGUGGAUAACCUACCUAUAAGACUGGGAUAACUUCGGGAAACCGGAGCUAAUACCGGAUAAUAUAUUGAACCGCAUGGUUCAAUAGUGAAAGACGGUUUUGCUGUCACUUAUAGAUGGAUCCGCGCCGCAUUAGCUAGUUGGUAAGGUAACGGCUUACCAAGGCAACGAUGCGUAGCCGACCUGAGAGGGUGAUCGGCCACACUGGAACUGAGACACGGUCCAGACUCCUACGGGAGGCAGCAGUAGGAAUCUUCCGCAAUGGGCGAAAGCCUGACGGAGCAACGCCGCGUGAGUGAUGAAGGUCUUCGGAUCGUAAAACUCUGUUAUUAGGGAAGAACAAAUGUGUAAGUAACUAUGCACGUCUUGACGGUACCUAAUCAGAAAGCCACGGCUAACUACGU
RNAcentral lists this ribosomal RNA (495 nucleotides) under uncultured bacterium. Its description in RNAcentral is "partial 16S ribosomal RNA". It matches the Rfam family "Bacterial small subunit ribosomal RNA", at positions 28 to 506 of the family's 1533-position model. The record is from RNAcentral.